Molecule: long non-coding RNA, 618 nt
Filed under: Trifolium pratense (red clover)
Lineage: Eukaryota; Viridiplantae; Streptophyta; Magnoliopsida; Fabales; Fabaceae
Description: long non-coding RNA (TPRA_LNC010136)
Source: RNAcentral
CCCUUUCGGUUUAUCCAAAGUUGCAUUCAGGUUGGAGGAGCCAUCUAUCAAUUCUUCAAACUUUCUCUUGAUGGAUCCCACAGUUUGUUUGUCAAAACCUCCACCAGAGAUAACCAUAGCUUGGGCAAGUGCGUCCCAUUUGUUCAGUGUGGGAGCAACAUAGGUGUUGUCCAAGUAGUCAGGGACAAAGAAGUCUUCAGGUCUGGAGAUGGCAAGGGCAACUGGCUUGUGCCCGGAUUUUUCUGGUGCAGCUUCUUCAGUGUUGCUGGUCUCAGCAGCUUCUGUCCGGGGAGCAUUGCCCCUCUUCACGUAUUGUUUGAUUUGCCCAUUUCUAAUCAAUAUUUCAAUGGCGUCUUUCAAUUGGAUGCAGUCGUCAGUCAGAUGGCCGUAGCCUUUGUGGUACUUGCAGUAUUUGCUCUUGUCUUGGCCAGGCUUUGAGGGUUGUUGUCUUGGAAAUUUAAUUACUGCUUUAGAGAACUCAGCUGAGUUGCACUCUUUCCAAAUUUCUUCCUGAGUUUUACUAAGGGGAGUAUAGUUGCUGAAUGUGCUGCGAGGUCCACGGGGUUCUCUAGGCCUUUCGCCUCUUCGUCUUCCUCCUCCUCGGCUGGACUGUUCAGC